RNAcentral lists this ribosomal RNA (253 nucleotides) under uncultured bacterium. Its description in RNAcentral is "partial 16S ribosomal RNA". It matches the Rfam family "Bacterial small subunit ribosomal RNA", at positions 524 to 776 of the family's 1533-position model. The record is from RNAcentral.
GACAGAGGGUGCAAACGUUGUUCGGAAUUACUGGGCGUCAAGCGCGUGUCGGCGGCCCAGCACGUCGGAUGUGAAAGCCCUGGGCUUAACCUAGGAAGUGCAUUCGAAACUGCUGGGCUUGAGUUCUGGAGAGGAAGGCGGAAUUCUCGGUGUAGAGGUGAAAUUCGUAGAUAUCGAGAGGAACACCGGUGGCGAAGGCGGCCUUCUGGACAGUGACUGACGCUGAGACGCGAAAGCGUGGGGAGCAAACAGG